AAUAACACUCUUGGCAACAGAUAUCUCAGCUCUCGCCAUGACGAAGAAUGUAGCAAAAUGCGAUACUUAGUGUGAAUUGCAAAAUCCCGUGAAUCAUCGAGACUUUGAACGCAAGUUGCACCCGAGGCCUCAACCAAGGGCAUACUUGCUUGGGCGUCGCAC
Molecule: ribosomal RNA, 162 nt
Filed under: Torreya fargesii
Lineage: Eukaryota; Viridiplantae; Streptophyta; Pinopsida; Cupressales; Taxaceae
Description: 5.8S ribosomal RNA
Rfam family: 5.8S ribosomal RNA
About the family: 5.8S ribosomal RNA (5.8S rRNA) is a component of the large subunit of the eukaryotic ribosome. It is transcribed by RNA polymerase I as part of the 45S precursor that also contains 18S and 28S rRNA.
Source: RNAcentral